This is a long non-coding RNA of Brassica rapa (field mustard), 309 nucleotides long. RefSeq lists it as uncharacterized. The record is from RefSeq and is a predicted model, not a curated record. Lineage: Eukaryota; Viridiplantae; Streptophyta; Magnoliopsida; Brassicales; Brassicaceae.
AUAGAGCAUUUACAGAAAAAUUCAAUAUUUUUGUAGGGGUUAAUAUAUAUAUUUUGAGAAAAAUUCAAAAAUUAGAAAAUUUUGUUUUAAUGCAUACUUGCAUCAUUCACUAACAUAUGAUGAAGGUCAAAGAGGUUUGGAACAUUCGCUAUCUCCGUUUUUCUAGACAAUAGCGAUUUUACAGUGGUUACUCUACCAAUUUAGGGAGUAUUAUGAAGUUUUACUAAAUUAAUUGACAAAAAAUUAAAACGAUGCUCAUGUACCAUAAAAGAGAGUUUAAUAUACAUUACUACAAAUGUAGAAUGCGUU